UACGUAGGGGGCAAGCGUUGUCCGGAUUUAUUGGGCGUAAAGAGCUCGUAGGUGGUUCGGUAAGUCGGAUGUGAAAUCUCCAGGCUCAACCUGGAGGGGUCAUUCGAUACUGCCGUGACUAGAGGUCGGUAGGGGAGUGUGGAAUUCCUGGUGGAGCGGUGAAAUGCGCAGAUAAUCAGGAGGAACACCCGUAGCGAAGGCGGCACUCUGGGCCGAUACUGACACUGAGGAGCGAAAGCGUGGGGAGCGAACAGG
RNAcentral lists this ribosomal RNA (255 nucleotides) under uncultured bacterium. RNAcentral describes it as "partial 16S ribosomal RNA". It matches the Rfam family "Bacterial small subunit ribosomal RNA", at positions 524 to 776 of the family's 1533-position model. The record is from RNAcentral.